Molecule: ribosomal RNA, 301 nt
Filed under: uncultured bacterium
Lineage: Bacteria
Description: partial 16S ribosomal RNA
Rfam family: Bacterial small subunit ribosomal RNA
Source: RNAcentral
CAGUAGCCACGGUAAAACGAAGGGGGCUAGCGUUGCUCGGAAUGACUGGGCGUAAAGGGCGCGUAGGCGGAUUGUUUAGUUAGGCGUGAAAUUCCUGGGCUUAACCUGGGGACUGCGCUUAAUACAGGCAGUCUAGAGUGAGGAAGAGGGUUGUGGAAUUCCCAGUGUAGAGGUGAAAUUCGUAGAUAUUGGGAAGAACACCGGUGGCGAAGGCGGCAACCUGGUCCUUGACUGACGCUGAGGCGCGAAAGCGUGGGGAGCAAACAGGAUUAGAUACCCCUGUAGUCCCUGUCUCUUAUAC